UGAGCUAAUUAUUUGCAUUAUUAAUUGUAGGGAAAAUUUUGGAAAUACAAUUUGAAACAUUUGGAGGACAAUAAAAAAAUAAAGUGUUGAUUUUAUUGCAACAUGCAAAGGAGGAUUUCCGGAAGCAAACUUGAGGUGUGGAAAGCAUCUGGGAGGUGCACAUUGAAUUCCAUUCACGGUCCUGCACACGUGGAGAAGCACCAACAUCCAGCCUUCACACAUCAGCACACGCGGCCCACAUCCAGAUUGAGA
RNAcentral lists this small RNA (252 nucleotides) under Vigna angularis var. angularis. RNAcentral's name for it is "Non-protein coding transcript". The record is from RNAcentral. Lineage: Eukaryota; Viridiplantae; Streptophyta; Magnoliopsida; Fabales; Fabaceae.